Molecule: ribosomal RNA, 471 nt
Filed under: Blastocystis sp. subtype 3
Lineage: Eukaryota; Bigyra; Opalinata; Blastocystidae
Description: SSU rRNA
Rfam family: Eukaryotic small subunit ribosomal RNA
Source: RNAcentral
ACCUUAUCGAUAAACAAUUGGAGGGCAAGUCUGGUGCCAGCAGCCGCGGUAAUUCCAGCUCCAAUAGCGUAUAUUAACGUUGUUGCAGUUAAAAAGCUCGUAGUUGAAAUGAAGGGUAGUUGUGUAAUGAAUACAUUCGUGUAUUUUGUUAUUCUACUACCCUCCUUCUAAAUUCGAUAUAUGAGUAUUAAUUUACUUGUAUAUGGUUUUAGACGUUUACUGUGAGAAAAUUAGAGUGUUCAAAGCAGGCAUUUGCUUGAAUAUAUUAGCAUGGAAUAAUCAUGUAUGAUUUUCAUGAUGUAUUUGAUUGGUUUGGUUCAUGAGAAUAAGAUUAAAAGGGACAGUUGGGGGUAUUCAUAUUCAAUAGUCAGAGGUGAAAUUCUCGGAUUUAUGGAAGAUGAACAAGUGCGAAAGCAUUUACCAAGGAUGUUUUCAUUAAUCAAGAACGAAAGUUAGGGGAUCGAAGAGGAU